AGAGUUUGAUCAUGGCUCAGGACGAACGCUGGCGGCGUGCCUAAUACAUGCAAGUAGAACGCUGAAGAGAGGAGCUUGCUCUUCUUGGAUGAGUUGCGAACGGGUGAGUAACGCGUAGGUAACCUGCCUUGUAGCGGGGGAUAACUAUUGGAAACGAUAGCUAAUACCGCAUAACAAUGGAUGACACAUGUCAUUUAUUUGAAAGGGGCAAUUGUUCCACUACAAGAUGGACCUGCGUUGUAUUAGCUAGUAGGUGAGGUAAUGGCUCACCUAGGCGACGAUACAUAGCCAACCUGAGAGGGUGAUCGGCCACACUGGGACUGAGACACGGCCCAGACUCCUACGGGAGGCAGCAGUAGGGAAUCUUCGGCAAUGGGGGCAACCCUGACCGAGCAACGCCGCGUGAGUGAAGAAGGUUUUCGGAUCGUAAAGCUCUGUUGUAAGUCAAGAACGGGUGUGAGAGUGGAAAGUUCACACUGUGACGGUAGCUUACCAGAAAGGGACGGCUAACUACGUGCCAGCAGCCGCGGUAAUACGUAGGUCCCGAGCGUUGUCCGGAUUUAUUGGGCGUAAAGCGAGCGCAGGCGGUUUGAUAAGUCUGAAGUUAAAGGCUGUGGCUCAACCAUAGUUCGCUUUGGAAACUGUCAAACUUGAGUGCAGAAGGGGAGAGUGGAAUUCCAUGUGUAGCGGUGAAAUGCGUAGAUAUAUGGAGGAACACCGGUGGCGAAAGCGGCUCUCUGGUCUGUAACUGACGCUGAGGCUCGAAAGCGUGGGGAGCGAACAGGAUUAGAUACCCUGGUAGUCCACGCCGUAAACGAUGAGUGCUAGGUGUUAGAUCCUUUCCGGGAUUCAGUGCCGCAGCUAACGCAUUAAGCACUCCGCCUGGGGAGUACGACCGCAAGGUUGAAACUCAAAGGAAUUGACGGGGGCCCGCACAAGCGGUGGAGCAUGUGGUUUAAUUCGAAGCAACGCGAAGAACCUUACCAGGUCUUGACAUCCCGAUGCUAUUUCUAGAGAUAGAAAGUUACUUCGGUACAUCGGUGACAGGUGGUGCAUGGUUGUCGUCAGCUCGUGUCGUGAGAUGUUGGGUUAAGUCCCGCAACGAGCGCAACCCCUAUUGUUAGUUGCCAUCAUUCAGUUGGGCACUCUAGCGAGACUGCCGGUAAUAAACCGGAGGAAGGUGGGGAUGACGUCAAAUCAUCAUGCCCCUUAUGACCUGGGCUACACACGUGCUACAAUGGUUGGUACAACGAGUUGCGAGUCGGUGACGGCGAGCUAAUCUCUUAAAGCCAAUCUCAGUUCGGAUUGUAGGCUGCAACUCGCCUACAUGAAGUCGGAAUCGCUAGUAAUCGCGGAUCAGCACGCCGCGGUGAAUACGUUCCCGGGCCUUGUACACACCGCCCGUCACACCACGAGAGUUUGUAACACCCGAAGUCGGUGAGGUAACCUUUUGGAGCCAGCCGCCUAAGGUGGGACAGAUGAUUGGGGUGAAGUCGUAACAAGGUA
This 1506-nucleotide ribosomal RNA is filed under the name metagenome. Its description in RNAcentral is "bacterial SSU rRNA". It matches the Rfam family "Bacterial small subunit ribosomal RNA". The record is from RNAcentral.